AUUGAACGCUGGCGGCAUGCCUUACACAUGCAAGUCGAACGGCAGCACGGGAGCAAUCCUGGUGGCGAGUGGCGAACGGGUGAGUAAUAUAUCGGAACGUGCCCAGUCGUGGGGGAUAACGCAGCGAAAGCUGUGCUAAUACCGCAUACGAUCUACGGAUGAAAGCGGGGGAUCGCAAGACCGCGCGCGAUUGGAGCGGCCGAUAUCAGAUUAGCUAGUUGGUGAGGUGAAGGCUCACCAAGGCGACGAUCUGUAGCUGGUCUGAGAGGACGGCCAGCCACACUGGAACUGGGAAACGGUCAAGACGCCUACGGGAGGGAGAAGUGGGGAAUUGUGGAAGAUGGGCGGAAGCCUGGUCCAGAAAUGCCGCGUGCAGGAUGAAGGCCUUCGGGUUGUAAACUGCUUUUGUACGGAAAGAAACGGUGAGCUCUAAUACAGUGUGCUAAUGACGGUACCGUAAGAAUCAGCACCGGCUAACUACGUGCCAGCAGCCGCCGGAA
RNAcentral lists this ribosomal RNA (500 nucleotides) under uncultured bacterium. RNAcentral's name for it is "partial 16S ribosomal RNA". It matches the Rfam family "Bacterial small subunit ribosomal RNA", at positions 29 to 523 of the family's 1533-position model. The record is from RNAcentral.